CCUACGGGGGGCAGCAGUGAGGAAUAUUGGUCAAUGGGCGGAAGCCUGAACCAGCCAAGUAGCGUGCAGGAUGACGGCCCUACGGGUUGUAAACUGCUUUUAUACGGGAAUAAAGUGCCUUACGUGUAGGGUUUUGCAUGUACCGUAUGAAUAAGGAUCGGCUAAUUCCGUGCCAGCAGCCGCGGUAAUACGGAAGGUCCGGGCGUUAUCCGGAUUUAUUGGGUUUAAAGGGAGCGUAGGCCGCAUGUUAAGCGUGUUGUGAAAUUUCCGGGCUCAACCCUGGCCUUGCAGCGCGAACUGGCGGGCUUGAGUACAGUGAAGGCAGGCGGAAUUCGUGGUGUAGCGGUGAAAUGCUUAGAUAUGACGAAGAACCCCGAUUGCGAAGGCAGCUUGCUGCAGCGGAACUGACGCUGAUGCUCGAAAGCGCGGGUAUCGAACAGGAUUAGAUACCCCGGUAGUC
RNAcentral lists this ribosomal RNA (460 nucleotides) under uncultured bacterium. RNAcentral's name for it is "partial 16S ribosomal RNA". It matches the Rfam family "Bacterial small subunit ribosomal RNA", at positions 338 to 795 of the family's 1533-position model. The record is from RNAcentral.